GAAAGGCGGCUUUGCUGUCACUUAUAGAUGGAUCCGCGCCGUAUUAGCUAGUUGGUAAGGUAACGGCUUACCAAGGCAACGAUACGUAGCCGACCUGAGAGGGUGAUCGGCCACACUGGAACUGAGACACGGUCCAGACUCCUACGGGAGGCAGCAGUAGGGAAUCUUCCGCAAUGGGCGAAAGCCUGACGGAGCAACGCCGCGUGAGUGAUGAAGGUCUUCGGAUCGUAAAACUCUGUUAUCAGGGAAGAACAAAUGUGUAAGUAACUGUGCACAUCUUGACGGUACCUGAUCAGAAAGCCACGGCUAACUACGUGCCAGCAGCCGCGGUAAUACGUAGGUGGCAAGCGUUAUCCGGAAUUAUUGGGCGUAAAGCGCGCGUAGGCGGUUUUUUAAGUCUGAUGUGAAAGCCCACGGCUCAACCGUGGAGGGUCAUUGGAAACUGGAAAACUUGAGUGCAGAAGAGGAAAGUGGAAUUCCAUGUGUAGCGGUGAAAUGCGCAGAGAUAUGGAGGAACACCAGUGGCGAAGGCGACUUUCUGGUCUGUAACUGACGCUGAUGUGCGAAAGCGUGGGGAUCAAACAGGAUUAGAUACCCUGG
RNAcentral lists this ribosomal RNA (600 nucleotides) under uncultured bacterium. Its description in RNAcentral is "bacterial SSU rRNA". It matches the Rfam family "Bacterial small subunit ribosomal RNA", at positions 202 to 790 of the family's 1533-position model. The record is from RNAcentral.